UGGGGAAUAUUGGACAAUGGGCGAAAGCCUGAUCCAGCCAUGCCGCGUGUGUGAAGAAGGUCUUCGGAUUGUAAAGCACUUUAAGUUGGGAGGAAGGGCAGUAAGCGAAUACCUUGCUGUUUUGACGUUACCGACAGAAUAAGCACCGGCUAACUCUGUUCCAGCAGCCGCGGUAAUACAGAGGGUGCAAGCGUUAAUCGGAAUUACUGGGCGUAAAGCGCGCGUAGGUGGUUCGUUAAGUUGAAUGUGAAAGCCCCGGGCUCAACCUGGGAACUGCAUCCAAAACUGGCGAGCUAGAGUAGGGCAGAGGGUGGGGGAAUUUCCUGUGUAGCGGUGAAAUGCGUAGAUAUAGGAAGGAACACCAGUGGCGAAGGCGACCACCUGGGCUCAUACUGACACUGAGGUGCGAAAGCGUGGGGAGCAAACAGG
Molecule: ribosomal RNA, 429 nt
Filed under: Pseudomonadota bacterium
Lineage: Bacteria; Pseudomonadati; Pseudomonadota
Description: Proteobacteria bacterium partial 16S ribosomal RNA
Rfam family: Bacterial small subunit ribosomal RNA
Source: RNAcentral